GCGGUAAGCUGACUGCGGAGACAUUAUCGAGUUUUUGACGGGUUGUAGCUGGCCUCUUACCGAGGUAAACGUGCACGCCUGGCUCAUUCCACUCUUCAACCUCUGUGCACCUUGUGUAGGAGAUGACCGAGGGGGCCUUCGAAAGUUGGUCUUCAGAGUCUCCCCUACGUUUUUUACUACAAACGCUUCAGUCAAUGAAUGUAAUCUCUGCGAAUAAAACGCAUCUAUAUACAACUUUCAGCAACGGAUCUCUUGGCUCUCGCAUCGAUGAAGAACGCAGCGAAAUGCGAUAAGUAAUGUGAAUUGCAGAAUUCAGUGAAUCAUCGAAUCUUUGAACGCACCUUGCGCUCCUUGGUAUUCCUCGGAGCAUGCCUGUUUGAGUAUCAUGGAAUUCUCAACUCCCAAGUUUCUUACUGAAGCUGUGGUGAGCUUGGACUUGGAGGUCGUGUCGGUCUGCUUCAGUCGACUCCUCUGAAAUACAUUAGCGUGAACCUUACGGAUCACCUUCAACGUGAUAAUUGUCUGCGUUGUGGUUGUGAAGUACUUGUGUGUUCAUGCUUACAGUCGUCUUCUUAUCGGAGACACUUUCUUGACUUCUGAUCUCAAAUCAGGUAGGACUACCCGCUGAACUUAAGCAUAUCAAAAGCCCGGAGGAA
Molecule: ribosomal RNA, 656 nt
Filed under: Ceriporia viridans
Lineage: Eukaryota; Fungi; Basidiomycota; Agaricomycetes; Polyporales; Irpicaceae
Description: eukaryotic LSU rRNA
Rfam family: 5.8S ribosomal RNA (bases 233-386)
Source: RNAcentral